Molecule: long non-coding RNA, 436 nt
Filed under: Phoenix dactylifera (date palm)
Lineage: Eukaryota; Viridiplantae; Streptophyta; Magnoliopsida; Arecales; Arecaceae
Description: long non-coding RNA (PDAC_LNC023045)
Source: RNAcentral
AAGGAUUCUUACCGAAAUUGUAGACAGACUCAAAUACAGAUCUGGAUCACAACCUACGAGCUGGGGUGCUGAGUCCCCUGAUCAAAACCUCCUGGCACCGCUGACUCUUCCCCUACAACAUCAAUUAUAAAUCACAAACUAAAUUAUUUAAUAUUUAAAUAUUCUAAACCAUAAUUCACAUCUACUAUGGGGUCCAUCACCAGAUCCCCAAACAUCUCAAUCCCUCCAGAUCUAGGGUAGUCGGGGUGGCCCGACUCCCACCUUGCACCAUCGGCCUAUGUCGUCGCCAGCCGUGGCCGCAGCCAUGCCGGCGACGAUGGCCGGUCCCGAUGAAGAGACCAACAUAAAGGGAUGAUUCCUCUCUCUUCAUGGUUGGGAAUACAUCUCCCUCCCUCAAAUCCUUUUUGAUCCAAGGGCAACAACCAUGGUGGUUGUG